AAGAACAGGGAGGCAGUGAGGGGUGUCUUCCAGUCAUCCUCACACACCAGAUUCCACUGCAAACAAGACAGCAUGAAGUAUCAGAAAACACAAACUUGGCACAGCUGACCAUCUAAAAAGUUGGGAGUUAUUUUCUCCACAGCAAACUGGAGGUUCCACCAAGAUGUUUGGAAAGAGUAGAAGAACAGAUUAUUCUUAAAGAUGACUGUAUCACCCAGCCAGCUUCCUGUAAGGCCUACAGGAGAGGGCGACACCAUGACCUGCCCUGUGCACUUCUGCAAACUGGAGCCUGCUGGCAGGAAAGACCACCCCAAACAACACAUCCCAGCCCUUGGUUCCAGAAAACAGCUACAUGGCAGCCUGGGAGCACAGGCCACUUGUCUCUGCCUCCUCACCUCCCCAAGACAGCGGCUCUCGCACC
This is a long non-coding RNA of Fukomys damarensis (Damara mole-rat), 421 nucleotides long. RefSeq lists it as uncharacterized. The record is from RefSeq and is a predicted model, not a curated record. Lineage: Eukaryota; Metazoa; Chordata; Mammalia; Rodentia; Bathyergidae. The transcript has 3 exons.